GGAGAGGUGGCUGAGCUGGCUGAAGGCAACGGUUUGCUAAACCGUCGUUGGGUUUAACCCCAACCGAGGGUUCGAAUCCCUCCCUCUCCGCCA
RNAcentral lists this transfer RNA (93 nucleotides) under Candidatus Makaraimicrobium thalassicum. RNAcentral describes it as "tRNA-Ser". It matches the Rfam family "tRNA". From Rfam's summary of the family: Transfer RNA (tRNA) molecules are approximately 80 nucleotides in length. Their secondary structure includes four short double-helical elements and three loops (D, anti-codon, and T loops). Further hydrogen bonds mediate the characteristic L-shaped molecular structure. tRNAs have two regions of fundamental functional importance: the anti-codon, which is responsible for specific mRNA codon recognition, and the 3' end, to which the tRNAs corresponding amino acid is attached (by aminoacyl-tRNA synthetases). tRNAs cope with the degeneracy of the genetic code in two manners: having more than one tRNA (with a specific anti-codon) for a particular amino acid; and 'wobble' base-pairing, i.e. permitting non-standard base-pairing at the 3rd anti-codon position. The record is from RNAcentral. Lineage: Bacteria; Pseudomonadati; Candidatus Omnitrophota.